This 616-nucleotide ribosomal RNA is filed under the name Desmonostoc sp. MACC 282. RNAcentral's name for it is "bacterial SSU rRNA". It matches the Rfam family "Bacterial small subunit ribosomal RNA", at positions 40 to 698 of the family's 1533-position model. The record is from RNAcentral. Lineage: Bacteria; Bacillati; Cyanobacteriota; Cyanophyceae; Nostocales; Nostocaceae.
CRAAMGGCWUCUUACMCAUGCAAGUCGAACGGWGUCUUCGGAYWUAGUGGSGGACGGGUGAGUAACGCGUGAGAAUCUAGCUUCAGGUYURGGACAACCACUGGAAACGGUGGCUAAUACYGGAUGUGCCGAAAGGUGAAAGGCUUGCUGCCUGAAGAUGAGCUCGCGUCUGAUUAGCUAGUUGGUGGGGUAAGAGCCUACCAAGGCGACGAUCAGUAGCUGGUCUGAGAGGAUGAUCAGCCACACUGGGACUGAGACACGGCCCAGACUCCUACGGGAGGCAGCAGUGGGGAAUUUUCCGCAAUGGGCGAAAGCCUGACGGAGCAAUACCGCGUGAGGGAGGAAGGCUCUUGGGUUGUAAACCUCUUUUCUCAGGGAAGAACACAAUGACGGUACCUGAGGAAUCAGCAUCGGCUAACUCCGUGCCAGCAGCCGCGGUAAUACGGAGGAUGCAAGCGUUAUCCGGAAUGAUUGGGCGUAAAGCGUCCGCAGGUGGCCUUGUAAGUCUGCUGUCAAAGAGCGAAGCUCAACUUCGUAAAGGCAGUGGAAACUACACGGCUAGAGUGCGUUCGGGGCAGAGGGAAUUCCUGGUGUAGCGGUGAAAUGCRUAGAAAAA